This 416-nucleotide ribosomal RNA is filed under the name bacterium enrichment culture clone ALO1_GLFRUDD03FKWT5. Its description in RNAcentral is "bacterial SSU rRNA". It matches the Rfam family "Bacterial small subunit ribosomal RNA", at positions 9 to 426 of the family's 1533-position model. The record is from RNAcentral.
GAGUUUGAUCAUGGCUCAGAUUGAACGCUGGCGGCAUGCCUUACACAUGCAAGUCGAACGGCAGCACGGGAGCUUGCUCCUGGUGGCGAGUGGCGAACGGGUGAGUAAUGCAUCGGAACGUAUCCUGGAGUGGGGGAUAACGUAGCGAAAGUUACGCUAAUACCGCAUAUUCUGUGAGCAGGAAAGCGGGGGACCUUCGGGCCUCGCGCUCUUGGAGCGGCCGAUGUCGGAUUAGCUAGUUGGUGAGGUAAAGGCUCACCAAGGCGACGAUCCGUAGCAGGUCUGAGAGGAUGAUCUGCCACACUGGAACUGAGACACGGUCCAGACUCCUACGGGAGGCAGCAGUGGGGAAUUUUGGACAAUGGGGGCGAACCCUGAUCCAGCCAUGCCGCGUGAGUGAAGAAGGCCUCGGUUGG